UAAGGAAUACUGGUCAAUGGACGCAAGUCUGAACCAGCCAUGCCGCGUGAAGGAUGAAGGUCCUCUGGAUUGUAAACUUCUUUUAUCUGGGACGAAAACGGGAUUUUUAUCUCAAUUGACGGUACCAGAGGAAUAAGCACCGGCUAACUCCGUGCCAGCAGCCGCGGUAAUACGGAGGGUGCGAGCGUUAUCCGGAUUCACUGGGUUUAAAGGGUGCGUAGGUGGGCUUAUAAGUCAGUGGUGAAAUCUCCGAGCUUAACUUGGAAACUGCCGUCGAUACUAUAGGUCUUGAAUUAUCUGGAGGUAAGCGGAAUAUGUCAUGUAGCGGUGAAAUGCUUAGAUAUGACAUAGAACACCAAUUGCGAAGGCAGCUUACUACAUAUAAAUUGACGCUGAGGCACGAAAGCGUGGGGAUCAAACA
Molecule: ribosomal RNA, 421 nt
Filed under: uncultured bacterium
Lineage: Bacteria
Description: bacterial SSU rRNA
Rfam family: Bacterial small subunit ribosomal RNA
Source: RNAcentral